UUUGUCUCACCAUUAAUGGUCCAAACACAAAAAUAAGCAAAGGAGACUAACAGACCAAAACCCUAGUCGCCUGGCUGUUGGGUAUGGACUAUGAAGAUUCCCAACACUAGUAAUUGCUGUCAGUAAUUAAUAAAAGGUUAAUGCAAAAGAAAACCAACAGGUAGACUUAAAGAGGGCACAGUAAAAUAAAAGAUGACAUUAGAUGGAAUAAAGUUAUUCCCAAAACCAUUAAUCAUCACAGAGAAGUAAAGUAAACUUUUUAAACAAAAAAAAAUCAGAAGCUAUAACCAUGGACGAAAGAGGAAGCGGGAGAAACAGGGGAAUGAUCGUCCCUUUCCUUCGAUCAAAAGGUUUUUCUCUCUCAUAAACAAAACCGAUUCCCUUCUCCACUUACAGUUACAAAGAAACCUUCACAACACAAUUCAAACAUCGGCUAAGAGUAAGAUUCGAGAAUGGCACUAACCAGCUGCAACGAAGUCGGCCAACGAAUGAGCAGGGUUUCUCCUCUCUCUUCAGUAGCCGUCAAUACUCUUCUCUAGGGUUUUUUCGUGGUCGUCCUCUGGUGGAGGAGGAGGCUCCUUUUAUACUCACCCUGUUUAGGGUUUUUGAGCUGGCUAUGGAGAUCAAAAGGGUAAUGCUUUUGGAAGUGCUUUAGGGUGCUCACAGUUUGUCUACAUUAUUCGGUGUUUGAUCUGGAACAGG
Lathyrus oleraceus (garden pea) is the source of this 702-nucleotide long non-coding RNA. RefSeq lists it as uncharacterized. Lineage: Eukaryota; Viridiplantae; Streptophyta; Magnoliopsida; Fabales; Fabaceae. The transcript is spliced from 2 exons. The record is from RefSeq and is a predicted model, not a curated record.